RNAcentral lists this ribosomal RNA (492 nucleotides) under uncultured bacterium. RNAcentral describes it as "partial 16S ribosomal RNA". It matches the Rfam family "Bacterial small subunit ribosomal RNA", at positions 29 to 507 of the family's 1533-position model. The record is from RNAcentral.
AGUGAACGCUGGCGGUAGGCCUAACACAUGCAAGUCGAACGGCAGCACAGUAAGAGCUUGCUCUUACGGGUGGCGAGUGGCGGACGGGUGAGGAAUACAUCGGAAUCUACUUUUUCGUGGGGGAUAACGUAGGGAAACUUACGCUAAUACCGCAUACGACCUACGGGUGAAAGCAGGGGAUCUUCGGACCUUGCGCGAUUGAAUGAGCCGAUGUCGGAUUAGCUAGUUGGCGGGGUAAAGGCCCACCAAGGCGACGAUCCGUAGCUGGUCUGAGAGGAUGAUCAGCCACACUGGAACUGAGACACGGUCCAGACUCCUAAGGGAGGCAGCAGUGGGGAAUAUUGGACAAUGGGCGCAAGCCUGAUCCAGCCAUACCGCGUGGGUGAAGAAGGCCUUCGGGUUGUAAAGCCCUUUUGUUGGGAAAGAAAAGCAGCAGGUUAAUACCCCGCUGUUCUGACGGUAACCAAAGAAUAAGCACCGGCUAACUUCGUG